This is a long non-coding RNA of Vicia villosa (hairy vetch), 631 nucleotides long. RefSeq lists it as uncharacterized. The record is from RefSeq and is a predicted model, not a curated record. The transcript is spliced from 2 exons. NCBI's taxonomy places the organism in Eukaryota, Viridiplantae, Streptophyta, Magnoliopsida, Fabales, Fabaceae.
ACAAAUAAUUUUUCAUAACUCAUCACAAUUACUUACCUUUUGGGAAUUUUCUCUUGACUAUCACGAAAGGCUAAAAAUAUUAAUUGAAAUAAAAAUCAAUGAUGUUUGAUGAUUGCCAAUAAAAAUUAUACGAGCUCUUUAUUAAUGUUUAAGUGAUCAACUCAUUGAGCUUAAGAGAUAAACGUGGCACAUUGAAAUAUCUUAGAGACACUUAACAAAAAAUUCAAAUUUAUUAUGCUAAGAUAUAUUAAUGGUAGUUAACAAAACCAUUUAAAUUUUACUUAUAAAGUGAUCAAACAAUUUUCAAUUUACUAAAUACGAAGAGGAAAAAUAUGAUUCAAAAUUUUAAAUUUUUGUAUACUUUGAUAAUCUUUCUUUAUCUAUUUGUUGUUGUAACCUACAGCACUAAUAUACACUGCAAAAAAGAUGCUGACUGUCCCAAAAAUAUGUGUACUCGUCCUUUAAAAGUAGAGUGUAUUAAUAUGUUUUUUACUUGUGAGUGCGUGUAUAAGAUUAACAAUUAGGUUGAAAUAUGUUAUUUGUUAAUUAUAAGCGCGUGUUUUUAUCUGGGUUGUUGAAAUUGCUACUAAAACUACUAUUAAUAUAGAAAUAGAAUGUCAUUACUUUGAUC